Molecule: ribosomal RNA, 502 nt
Filed under: Botrytis cinerea
Lineage: Eukaryota; Fungi; Ascomycota; Leotiomycetes; Helotiales; Sclerotiniaceae
Description: eukaryotic LSU rRNA
Rfam family: 5.8S ribosomal RNA (bases 139-292)
Source: RNAcentral
ACCGGAAAGGGGUAGACCUCCCACCCUUGUGUAUUAUUACUUUGUUGCUUUGGCGAGCUGCCUUCGGGCCUUGUAUGCUCGCCAGAGAAUACCAAAACUCUUUUUAUUAAUGUCGUCUGAGUACUAUAUAAUAGUUAAAACUUUCAACAACGGAUCUCUUGGUUCUGGCAUCGAUGAAGAACGCAGCGAAAUGCGAUAAGUAAUGUGAAUUGCAGAAUUCAGUGAAUCAUCGAAUCUUUGAACGCACAUUGCGCCCCUUGGUAUUCCGGGGGGCAUGCCUGUUCGAGCGUCAUUUCAACCCUCAAGCUUAGCUUGGUAUUGAGUCUAUGUCAGUAAUGGCAGGCUCUAAAAUCAGUGGCGGCGCCGCUGGGUCCUGAACGUAGUAAUAUCUCUCGUUACAGGUUCUCGGUGUGCUUCUGCCAAAACCCAAAUUUUUCUAUGGUUGACCUCGGAUCAGGUAGGGAUACCCGCUGAACUUAAGCAUAUCAUAAGAGGAGGAAAA